CCUACGGGGCGCAGCAGUGGGGAAUAUUGGACAAUGGGCGAAAGCCUGAUCCAGCCAUGCCGCGUGUGUGAAGAAGGCCUUCGGGUUGUAAAGCACUUUCAGUGGGGAAGAAAGCCUUGGGGCUAAUACCCUCGAGGAAGGACAUCACCCACAGAAGAAGCACCGGCUAACUCCGUGCCAGCAGCCGCGGUAAUACGGAAGGUGCGAGCGUUAAUCGGAAUUACUGGGCGUAAAGCGCGCGUAGGCGGUCUGAUAAGCCGGUUGUGAAAGCCCCGGGCUCAACCUGGGAACGGCAUCCGGAACUGUCAGGCUAGAGUGCAGGAGAGGAAGGUAGAAUUCCCGGUGUAGCGGUGAAAUGCGUAGAGAUCGGGAGGAAUACCAGUGGCGAAGGCGGCCUUCUGGACUGACACUGACGCUGAGGUGCGAAAGCGUGGGUAGCAAACAGGAUUAGAUACCCUUGUAGUC
This 465-nucleotide ribosomal RNA is filed under the name Vreelandella stevensii. RNAcentral's name for it is "partial 16S ribosomal RNA". It matches the Rfam family "Bacterial small subunit ribosomal RNA", at positions 338 to 795 of the family's 1533-position model. Lineage: Bacteria; Pseudomonadati; Pseudomonadota; Gammaproteobacteria; Oceanospirillales; Halomonadaceae. The record is from RNAcentral.